UGAGUACGAGAUGCUACGGCAUCGAAGCAGUCUAUGUCAUACUUCCAAGAAAAGCUUGCACUGUCAGAAACAGAUAAUGCCUGUACCAUAACCGACACAGGUGGGUAGGUAGAGUAUACUAAGGGGCGCGAGAUAACUCUCUCUAAGGAACUCGGCAAAAUGACUCCGUAACUUCGGGAGAAGGAGUGCCUUAUUUUUAAGGUUGCAAUAACAAGAUCCAAGCAACUGUUUACCAAAAACACAGGUCUCCGCUAAGUCGUAAGACGAUGUAUGGGGGCUGACGCCUGCCCAGUGCCAGAAGGUUAAAGAAGUCGGUUAGCAUUCGCGAAGCUGGUAACUGAAGCCCUGGUGAACGGCGGCCGUAACAAUAACGGUCCUAAGGUAGCGAAAUUCCUUGUCGGGUAAGCUCCGACCCGCACGAAAGGCGUAAUGAUUUGGAUACUGUCUCGGAGAGGGGCUCGGUGAAAUAGACUUGUCUGUGAAGAUGCGGACUACCUGCACCUGGACAGAAAGACCCUAUGAAGCUUUACUGUAACUUGAAAUCGAAAUUGGACUUUAUUUGCGCAGUAUAGGUGGGAGGCGUUGAAAAUAUUCUUGCGGGAACAUUGGAGCCAUCAGUGAGAUACCACUCUUGUAAUGUUAGAUUUCUAACUUUAUAUCAUUAUCUGGUUAAAGAACAGUUUCAGGCGGGCAGUUUGACUGGGGCGGUCGCCUCCCAAAUGGUAACGGAGGCGCACAAAGGUUUCCUCUGAACGGGUAGAAAUCGUAUCUAGAGUGUAAAGGCAUAAGGAAGCUUGACUGUGAGACCUACAAGUCGAGCAGGGACGAAAGUCGGUCUUAGUGAUCUGACGGUGCUGAGUGGAAAGGCCGUCACUCAACGGAUAAAAGUUACUCUAGGAUAACAGGCUGAUCUCCCCCAAGAGUUCACAUCGACGGGGAGGUUUGGCACCUCGAUGUCGGCUCAUCGCAUCCUGGGGCGGUAGUACGUCCCAAGGGUUGGGCUGUUCGCCCAUGAAAGCGGUACGCGAGCUGGGUUCAGAACGUCGUGAGACAGUUCGGUCCAUAUCCGGUGUAGGCGUUAGAAUAUUGAGAGGAGCCUUCUUUAGUACGAGAGGACCGAGAAGGACAUACCUCUGGUGUACCAGUUAUCGUGCCAACGGUAAACGCUGGGUAGCUAUGUAUGGAGUGGAUAACCGCUGAGAGCAUCUAAGUGGGAAGCCCACCUCAAGAUAAGUA
RNAcentral lists this ribosomal RNA (1236 nucleotides) under metagenome. RNAcentral describes it as "bacterial LSU rRNA". It matches the Rfam family "Bacterial large subunit ribosomal RNA", at positions 1564 to 2810 of the family's 2925-position model. The record is from RNAcentral.